AGCCUGCCCAGUGACUUAGUUCAACGGCCGCGGUAUCCUAACCGUGCGAAGGUAGCGUAAUCACUUGUUCUUUAAAUGAGGACUAGUAUGAAUGGCAUCACGAGGGUUACACUGUCUCCUUUUUCUAAUCAAUGAAACUAAUCUCCCCGUGAAGAAGCGGGGAUAUGUAUAUAAGACGAGAAGACCCUAUGGAGCUUCAAACUAUUUAGCACUGGCUUUUAUCUAUGUCUACUUCAGAGUCUUUACACUUAUUCUAGCCUCUUGACUAAUAGUUUUAGGUUGGGGUGACCACGGAGCAAAAAUUAACCUCCACGAUGAACAGAGCUACUCUUGAGCCAAAAGACACAACUUUAAGCACCAAUAAACUGACACAAAUUGACCCAAUAUUUUGAGCAACGAACCAAGUUACCCUAGGGAUAACAGCGCAAUCCGCCUUAAGAGCCCCUAUCGACAGGUGGGUUUACGACCUCGAUGUUGGAUCAGGGUAUCCCAGUGG
RNAcentral lists this ribosomal RNA (496 nucleotides) under Dendropsophus triangulum (triangle treefrog). RNAcentral describes it as "partial 16S ribosomal RNA". It matches the Rfam family "Bacterial large subunit ribosomal RNA", at positions 1856 to 2553 of the family's 2925-position model. Lineage: Eukaryota; Metazoa; Chordata; Amphibia; Anura; Hylidae. The record is from RNAcentral.